This 72-nucleotide transfer RNA is filed under the name Alosa alosa (allis shad). RNAcentral's name for it is "tRNA-Ile". It matches the Rfam family "tRNA". From Rfam's summary of the family: Transfer RNA (tRNA) molecules are approximately 80 nucleotides in length. The record is from RNAcentral. Lineage: Eukaryota; Metazoa; Chordata; Actinopteri; Clupeiformes; Clupeidae.
GCUCCAGUGGCUAAUCGGUUAGCUAGCGGUACUUAUAAUGCGAGGUUGUGAGUUCGAGCCUCACCUGGAGCA